CCUACGGGAUGCAGCAGUCGAGAAUCAUUCACAAUGGGGGAAACCCUGAUGGUGCGACGCCGCGUGCGGGACGAAGGCCCUCGGGUUGUAAACCGCUUUCAGCAGGGAAGAUCCAAGACGGUACCUGCAGAAGAAGCUCCGGCUAACUACGUGCGAGCAGCCGAGGUAAUACGUAGGGGGCGAGCGUUAUCCGGAUGCUUGGGGCGUAAAGCGCGCGUAGGCGGCCGCCUAGGCGGGACCUCUAACCCCGGGGCUCAACCCCGGGCCGGGUCCCGGACUGGGCGGCUCGAGUGCGGUGGAGGAGGGCGGAAUUCGCGGUGUAGCGGUGGAAUGCGCAGAUAUCGGGAAGAACACCGAUGGCGAAGGCAGCUCUCUGGGCCGUCACUGACGCUGAGGCGCGAAAGCUGGGGGAGCGAACAGGAUUAGAUACCCUGGUAGUC
This 440-nucleotide ribosomal RNA is filed under the name uncultured bacterium. RNAcentral's name for it is "partial 16S ribosomal RNA". It matches the Rfam family "Bacterial small subunit ribosomal RNA", at positions 338 to 795 of the family's 1533-position model. The record is from RNAcentral.